Molecule: long non-coding RNA, 801 nt
Organism: Notolabrus celidotus (New Zealand spotty)
Lineage: Eukaryota; Metazoa; Chordata; Actinopteri; Labriformes; Labridae
Exons: 2
Source: RefSeq, a predicted model, not a curated record
GUUACUGAUCGGACGAGUGAGACGGAGAGCAGAGCUAACAGUUUAUCACACAUUUAUUAAACAGUCUGUGAUUCCGAGCUGAUUAAAUAAUCACAGUUUAAGAGUUUUAGAUGGUUUUGAGUUCAAAUUAAACCGGUUUGGUCCGGUUUGGUCCGGUUUGGUCCCGUUUUGGUGAGUCAUAUCCGGGACUUUUCCCCAGACGGUUGAUCUGAGAGACUGAGGAGUUCCAGAAGCAGGCGACACCCAGACCACCGCAGGGGCUUCGGUUAAAGAGGUCCAGGAUCUGGUCCAGGACUUUGGAUUUGCCUGUUUCUUCGUUGGAAUUCCAGAUAAGAUUUAACAUUAUUCCAAAAAGGAGCCCCCACACUAUUUAACUAACCAGCUGAACAAGAAAGAAACAGUUUGACUGAACUUAAAAACUGUAAAAGAAUAAAUGAGGAUUAAAGAAAUGAAUAAUGUUUGUACCCGGGUACAGAAACACUCCCCACAGGAGAGAACAGGUGAACUUAUAUUCUGUUUACUGGUCAUUUAAAAAUCAAAACAGAGCUCUGAUCAAACACAGAAGAUGAGUGACGUCAUGAAUAAUACAUCCUUUUAUUAUACAGGGAAUGGUGCUGAUGUGUGAUAGGACAAAGAGCAAUAACAAAGAAGCACUCGUAGAGGCAAGGAGUUACUUUCCUUGAAACUGAACUCAGCAUUUUCUGUGCUUCUCUUUUAAAGCGUGAACAUCAUGACAAUAUUGAUCUAAGGCUUUUUAAAAGGAAUGCAUUUAAAUAAACAAUUAAAGCAUUUCUAGGAGUG